AACGAACGCUGGCGGCAUGCCUAACACAUGCAAGUCGAACAAGACCUUCGGGUCUAGUGGCGCACGGGUGCGUAACGCGUGGGAACCUGCCCUUAGGUUCGGAAUAACUCCCCGAAAGGGGUGCUAAUACCGGAUAAUGUCUUCGGACCAAAGAUUUAUCGCCUUUGGAUGGGCCCGCGUUGGAUUAGCUAGUUGGUAGGGUAAAAGCCUACCAAGGCGACGAUCCAUAGCUGGUCUGAGAGGAUGAUCAGCCACACUGGGACUGAGACACGGCCCAGACUCCUACGGGAAGCAGCAGUGGGGAAUAUUGGACAAUGGGCGAAAGCCUGAUCCAGCAAUGCCGCGUGAGUGAUGAAGGCCUUAGGGUUGUAAAGCUCUUUUACCCGGGAUGAUAAUGACAGUACCGGGAGAAUAAGCUCCGGCUAACUCCGUG
RNAcentral lists this ribosomal RNA (433 nucleotides) under uncultured bacterium. RNAcentral's name for it is "partial 16S ribosomal RNA". It matches the Rfam family "Bacterial small subunit ribosomal RNA", at positions 29 to 507 of the family's 1533-position model. The record is from RNAcentral.